RNAcentral lists this ribosomal RNA (394 nucleotides) under Capensibufo tradouwi. Its description in RNAcentral is "partial 12S ribosomal RNA". It matches the Rfam family "Bacterial small subunit ribosomal RNA", at positions 797 to 1403 of the family's 1533-position model. Lineage: Eukaryota; Metazoa; Chordata; Amphibia; Anura; Bufonidae. The record is from RNAcentral.
CAGCCGUAAACUUUUAUUUACAUCUAAAUCGCCAGGGAACUACGAGCUAAGCUUAAAACCCAAAGGACUUGACGGUACCCCAUAUCCCCCUAGAGGAGCCUGUCCUAUAAUCGACAAUCCACGUUUAACCUCACCAUUUCUAGUUUAUCAGCCUGUAUACCUCCGUCGUCAGCUUACCACGUGAGCGCCCAUUAGUGAGCCCAAUGCUAUUUCACCAACACGUCAGGUCAAGGUGCAGCAAAUGAAAUGGAAAGAGAUGGGCUACACUUUCUACUUUAGAAGAGACGAAAAACUAUUUAUGAAAUCUAGUUAGAAGGCGGAUUUAGUAGUAAAAAGGAAUUAGCAUGUCCAUUUUAACCCGGCACUGGGGUGUGUACACACCGCCCGUCACCCU